RNAcentral lists this ribosomal RNA (450 nucleotides) under uncultured Entrophospora. RNAcentral describes it as "SSU rRNA". It matches the Rfam family "Eukaryotic small subunit ribosomal RNA", at positions 569 to 1015 of the family's 1831-position model. The record is from RNAcentral. Lineage: Eukaryota; Fungi; Glomeromycota; Glomeromycetes; Entrophosporales; Entrophosporaceae.
CGCAGCCGCGGUAAUUCCAGCUCCAAUAGCGUAUAUUAAAGUUGUUGCAGUUAAAAAGCUCGUAGUUGAAUUUCGGGAUUGGCGCAUCGGUCGUGCCUUACGGGGUAUGAACUGGUGCAGUCAAUUUCUCACCUUCUGGAGAACCGCGAUGUCCUUAAUUGGGUGCCGCGGGGAACCAGGACCUUUACUUUGAAAAAAUUAGAGUGUUUAAAGCAGGCAUUUUUGCUUGAAUACAUUAGCAUGGAAUAAUAAAAUAGGACGGCAUGGUUCUAUUUUGUUGGUUUCUAGGACCACCGUAAUGAUUAAUAGGGAUAGUUGGGGGCAUUAGUAUUCAAUUGUCAGAGGUGAAAUUCUUGGAUUUAUUGAAGACUAACUACUGCGAAAGCAUUUGCCAAGGAUGUUUUCAUUAAUCAAGAACGAAAGUUAGGGGAGUCGAAGACGAUCAGAUAC